Molecule: long non-coding RNA, 753 nt
Organism: Dreissena polymorpha
Lineage: Eukaryota; Metazoa; Mollusca; Bivalvia; Myida; Dreissenidae
Exons: 4
Source: RefSeq, a predicted model, not a curated record
AUGUACUACGCCGCAAUUUGAUUAUUGAAUUCAGAGUGUAUUUACUGCUUACUGCAGGGUGCGUACAUAUGAUAAAAUAUGUUUAAAGUCCUGCUAGUUUCUUUACUAAACGUGGUCGUUAUGCGAUGUCUCAUCGGGUCUGGUUAAACCCCUCUGCUUUAAACAUGGAGUGCAAAUUAUUUGUUUUUAAAGUGUUUUGUGUCGUUUUAAAAAUGGCUAUUGUGGUUGGACAGAACCCUUUGUCGAAAGCCAACUCAACUUCAGUGUUUGAACAACAAGCUGUUGAAUAAAUUUGCUAACACUCAACUGCGCAAGUUGCUUCAUGGUGGUUAAAGAAUGUACGAGUCACUGUAGCAGAAGAAAACAACGGAGUCUGUGCUUAUAGUCCACCUAAUAUACCAUCUUACUUUUCUGAGUAUACGUUUGGUAACUCAAGACAUAGCUGCACACUGAAAUCGUUGUCCUUGUCGAACCACGGAGAAGUAUGGACGUGUGCCAUAACCGACUCGAAUAACGGCACUUUGUACCAUAGUAACGAACAAAUAUUGGAAGUAAAAGCUAUACCAACAACGCAGAAAAGUGCACCAACAGAGGACAAUGGUAGCAAAUCUGUUAGUAUCAACAAUUCGGAUUUAAUGACAACACAAAUCAUACCUUCAACACCUCCAUACAAAGGACACAAUAAUUUCUGGAUAAUAUUUGUUGGAUUGAUAGUGAUUGCGUUUAUUGUAAUUAUUAUUUGUGCAUGCAGAC